GCCUCAGUAACGGCGAGUGAAGCGGCAUCAGCUCAAAUUUGAAAUCUGGCCUCACGGUCCGAGUUGUAAUUUGUAGAGAAUGCUUCGGGCGAGGUCCGGUCUAAGUUCCUUGGAACAGGACGUCAUAGAGGGUGAGAAUCCCGUAUGCGACCGGUCGCCUCCGCCCAUGUGAAGCUUCUUCGACGAGUCGAGUUGUUUGGGAAUGCAGCUCAAAAUGGGUGGUAUAUUUCAUCUAAAGCUAAAUACUGGCCAGAGACCGAUAGCGCACAAGUAGAGUGAUCGAAAGAUGAAAAGCACUUUGGAAAGAGAGUUAAACAGUACGUGAAAUUGUUGAAAGGGAAGCGCUUGCAACCAGACUUGCGCGCAGCUGAUCAUCCGGUGUUCUCACCGGUGCACUCGGUUGCGCUCAGGCCAGCAUCGGUUCUGGCGGCUGGAUAAAGGCCUUGGGAAUGUAGCUCCCCUCGGGGAGUGUUAUAGCCCUCGGUGCAAUGCAGCCUGUUGGGACCGAGGACCGCGCUUCGGCUAGGAUGCUGGCGUAAUGGUUGUAAGCGACCCGUCUUGAAACACGGACCAAGGAGUCUAACAUCUAUGCGAGUGUUUGGGCGUCAACSCRUAAUGAWARUGAASKGAAGGUGAGAACMCCCUWAGGGUGCAUCAUCGACCGAUCCUGAUGUCUUCGGAUGGAUUUGAGUAAGAGCAUAGCUGUUGGGACCCGAAAGAUGGUGAACUAUGCCUGAAUAGGGUGAAGCCAGAGGAAACUCUGGUGGAGGCUCGCAGCGGUUCUGACGUGCAAAUCGAUCGUCAAAUUUGGGUAUAGGGGCGAAAGACUAAUCGAACCAU
RNAcentral lists this ribosomal RNA (840 nucleotides) under Tympanis acericola. RNAcentral's name for it is "partial large subunit ribosomal RNA". It matches the Rfam family "Eukaryotic large subunit ribosomal RNA", at positions 77 to 943 of the family's 3401-position model. Lineage: Eukaryota; Fungi; Ascomycota; Leotiomycetes; Leotiales; Tympanidaceae. The record is from RNAcentral.